GUACCAUACAAAAAGAAACAAUGACAAAUACUCAAAAUAAUACAUGGUGGUGGAACUCUCUUAAUCAAUAAGUGAGAAGUUACUAUUAUAUAUUAUUUUAAUUAUAUAAAAUCAUAAAAGGCUUAUC
Regulatory RNA element from Lutibacter sp., 127 nucleotides. It matches the Rfam family "Bacteroidete tryptophan peptide leader RNA". NCBI's taxonomy places the organism in Bacteria, Pseudomonadati, Bacteroidota, Flavobacteriia, Flavobacteriales, Flavobacteriaceae. The record is from Rfam.